Molecule: small nucleolar RNA, 103 nt
Organism: Lycium barbarum (goji berry)
Lineage: Eukaryota; Viridiplantae; Streptophyta; Magnoliopsida; Solanales; Solanaceae
Product: small nucleolar RNA Z152/R70/R12
Exons: 1
Source: RefSeq, a predicted model, not a curated record
UAUGCAGUGAUGAGAUAAAGCACCAUUGGAGGUGUAAUAGGGCAGUGGAGAAAACCUCUCCGUGAGCCUAUUUAAUUAACGACUUCUCCUUCCACUGAGCAUC